UUUCCUUAAUGUCAUUCAUAUCUUACCCAAAAAAAAUUCAACAAACACCAGCAGCAACAACAAGAGAACAGCAGCAAUAACCAAUCAUACAUGAAUUUAACAUGAUAAAGAAAAACCAGAAAAUAGUUCAAUGAAAGUGUUGAUACCUCUUAUGACCUUAGUUAAAAGUUUUGAUGAAAUUCCAAUCUCCUCAUGUCCGAUUGCUUGCCUUCUUGUGUUUGAUUCCGUGUGUGUAUAUUGGGAAAAGGGAGGGAGCCGAAUGGAGCCUUUCUUUUGUGUCUUAUGAAUUGAGAGAAAAGAAAGAGAGGGAGCCGAGACUGACAUGGGAGGAUGAAGAGUGUUUUUUUUU
This 349-nucleotide long non-coding RNA is filed under the name Coffea arabica (coffee). RNAcentral's name for it is "long non-coding RNA (CARA_LNC002592)". Lineage: Eukaryota; Viridiplantae; Streptophyta; Magnoliopsida; Gentianales; Rubiaceae. The record is from RNAcentral.